AACGGCCGCGGUAUUUUGACCGUGCAAAGGUAGCAUAAUCAUUAGUCUUUUAAUAGGAGACUGGAAUGAAAGGUUUGACGAGGCAAUAUCUGUCUCAAUUCAAUUUUUUGAAUUUAGCUUUUUGGUCAAAAGGCCUAGAUGAUUUUGGAAGACGAGAAGACCCUAUAGAGCUUUAAGAUUAAUUUUAUUAAUUUAUUUUUUUUAUUAUUUUUUUAAUUUUUUUAAUUUUUUUGUUGGGGUGACAAGAACACAUAAUUAGCUAUUAUUAUUUAUUAUACAUUUAUAUAUGAUUCUUAGAUCCUUUUUUAUUGAUUGUUAGAAUAAGUUACCUUAGGGAUAACAGCGUAAUCUUCCUUCAGAGUUCAAAUUUACAGGAAGGCUUGCGACCUCGAUGUUGGAUUAAGAUAAUUAUUGGGUGUAGAAGCUUAAUUAAUAGGUCUGUUCGAC
RNAcentral lists this ribosomal RNA (447 nucleotides) under Vestalis beryllae. RNAcentral describes it as "partial 16S ribosomal RNA". It matches the Rfam family "Archaeal large subunit ribosomal RNA", at positions 2003 to 2654 of the family's 2987-position model. Lineage: Eukaryota; Metazoa; Arthropoda; Insecta; Odonata; Calopterygidae. The record is from RNAcentral.